AUUGAACGCUGGCCGCAGGCCUAACACAUGCACUUCCAACGAGUGGCGGACGGGUGCGUAAUGUCUGGGAAACUUCCUCAUGGGGGGGGAUAACUACUGAUAACGGUAGCUAAUACCGCAUACCAUCAGAUGUGCCCAUAUGGGAUUAGCUAGUUGGUGGGGUACCGGCUCACCAAGGCGACGAUCCCUAGCUGGUCUGAGAGGAUGACCAGCCACACUGGUAUUUAGACACGGUCCGGACACCGACGGCAGGCAGGAGUGGGGCAUAUGGCGCAAUGGGUGUAGACCUGAGGCAGCCAGGCCGAGUGUAUGAAGAAGGCAUUCGGGUGCUAAAGGACUUUAAGAAGGGAGGAACGACCAGCAGAAGAAGCACCGGUGAACUCCGUGCCAGCCGCCGCGGUAAUAC
Molecule: ribosomal RNA, 406 nt
Filed under: uncultured bacterium
Lineage: Bacteria
Description: partial 16S ribosomal RNA
Rfam family: Bacterial small subunit ribosomal RNA
Source: RNAcentral